RNAcentral lists this ribosomal RNA (253 nucleotides) under uncultured bacterium. RNAcentral describes it as "partial 16S ribosomal RNA". It matches the Rfam family "Bacterial small subunit ribosomal RNA", at positions 524 to 776 of the family's 1533-position model. The record is from RNAcentral.
UACGAAGGGGGCUAGCGUUGCUCGGAAUCACUGGGCGUAAAGCGCACGUAGGCGGGUUCUUAAGUCAGGGGUGAAAUCCUGGAGCUCAACUCCAGAACUGCCUUUGAUACUGGGAAUCUCGAGUCCGGGAGAGGUGAGUGGAACUGCGAGUGUAGAGGUGAAAUUCGUAGAUAUUCGCAAGAACACCAGUGGCGAAGGCGGCUCACUGGCCCGGUACUGACGCUGAGGUGCGAAAGCAUGGGGAGCGAACAGG